Molecule: long non-coding RNA, 549 nt
Organism: Penaeus monodon (black tiger shrimp)
Lineage: Eukaryota; Metazoa; Arthropoda; Malacostraca; Decapoda; Penaeidae
Exons: 3
Source: RefSeq, a predicted model, not a curated record
AGGAAAAUGCACGGAUUUGUGCAGUCGAGACUCAUUCUGCGACGCGUUUACUGUGGACCAAACCGAACAAGGGGCGUUCAACUGCUACUUCUCCCAGGGCGCCAUCGACGUCUCCCUCCUGCAGCCAAAUUUCCAAGCCAAAACACACUACAAACUCGUUUCCGUAGAUUCUGUUCAGGGAACUGGACUGAGCAGCGGUAGCGGUGCAUCAAGCAGUCCAUCUGGUAGUGAAGCAACAACAGCUGGUGGUGAAGCAACAGGGUCUGGUGGUGAAACAACAGCUGGUGGUGAGGCAACAACAUCUGGUGGGGGUGAAGCAACAGGGUCGGGUGGUGGAGCAACAACUGGUGGUGAAGCAACAGGGUCUGGUGGUGAAACAACAUCUGGUGGUGAGGGAACGCCAUCUGGCGGCGAUGUACCAUCUGGUGGAGCAACAACAGCAGCUGCUGGUCAUACAACAUCAAAUGCACUCGACGCAGGAACUACACAAAGGACUGAAACGCCUCCGCCAACAACCACUACAGUGCCUCCUUCAACGACAACAACAAC